RNAcentral lists this long non-coding RNA (1209 nucleotides) under Anser cygnoides (Swan goose). RNAcentral's name for it is "lncRNA (ENSACDG00005000439.1)". Lineage: Eukaryota; Metazoa; Chordata; Aves; Anseriformes; Anatidae. The record is from RNAcentral.
AUGGCCCUUAAGAGACGUCCCCGCUGUAGGGUGGGACGGGGCUGCGCCCGGUGCCGCCGAGUGUCGGGGGAGCCGCGUGAAGCCGGUGCAGUGUCCCACAGAGCAGAAAGCGCUCGCUGUGGGAUGGGACCGGAGCACCUGGAUGUCACCACUGCCACGAGACAGGGCCAUUCCUGCCCUGCGAUGGAUGCACGCCGCAUUCGGACACAUCAGAGAGGGGCUGAAUCGUGGGGUGACUUGCUGGGACACCGCAGCCGCCGCGUGCAUGGCAGCGGGCUGGCCAAAGGGGCCGUUUAUGGGGCUUUGAGCAUCUCCAGCCACCUCCUGCCCCUUCCACCCGCAUCCCCCGGGAUGGGACUGCUGGGGAAAUGGGGCACAGCCCGUGUGCCUUCUGCCACUGUCCUCCCAAGCCGUGUCCCCGGGGUCUGCUCGUGGAGGCGCGGGUCCUGUAGGGGCGGCUGGCUCAGCCCUGGCCGCAGGCACCCGGGGACCAGGCAGGAGAGGAGGCAGCUGCUAUGCAGGGGAGGAAGAAACUUUUGCCCCUCUUCUUUCUUUCCCCUUUGUCUGGCAGCCUGCUUGCCCAAGGAAAAGCACUUUAUGGGGUGUAGCUCUGUGUGUCCGUGUCUAUUUGUCCCCCCCCCCCCAGCUCCCAGCAAUUUUAGGCUCCGGUCGGUGCCAGCCCAGCGUGUCCGAGGGCGCGCCGGGCAGAAAGAAGCUGAGCUUUGGCCUUUCUGUGUGCUGCCAUGGCAUAGGGAACCGCGGGGCCUCUCCCAGCUCCCAUUUUGCAAGGAGCUUUCUUUGUCCUGCGGCAAUACAGAGCCUGGCUGGGAGCAGGAGGUUUUGGUCGCAGCCACGCGUCUCGCCCAUGCCCAGGGCGAUGCCGCCGAUGGGUUUGGGGUUGGUGUGAAGGAGGAGGGCUCAUCCUCGUGGGUCCCACCAGGGCAAGGAGCACCAGACCCCCGCUGCCUUCCCCAAGGGGGGCCCCGGCCUGCCCGGUGGCACCGCCACCCUCCGAGCCGCCGCCGGGCUUGUCCUGGUGCUUGUCCCGCUGCCGCUGGGCAGCUGCAGCAUCCCCCGGCCGUGGCGUCUUCGUGCUACUGCAGGUGGAGCGCCUUGCCUGCCCGAGAGCUGCAGCUCCGCUCAAAAAGCGCAAACGCGCAAAGAUUCGGAGCUUUCGUCCGUGUCGGCCGUGCGAAAACCCUCCCAUAA